GUGGCAAGCGUUGUCCGGAUUUAUUGGGCGUAAAGCGAGUGCAGGCGGUUCCAUAAGUCUUGUGUGAAAGCCUUCCGCUCAACCCGCGAAUUGCAUCAGAAACUGUUGAACUUGAGUGCAGAAGAGGAGAGUGGAACUCCAUGUGUAGCGGUGGAAUGCGUAGAUAUAUGGAAGAACACCAGUGGCGAAGGCGGCUCUCUGGUCUGCAACUGACGCUGAGGCUCGAAAGCAUGGGUAGCGAAC
Molecule: ribosomal RNA, 243 nt
Filed under: uncultured bacterium
Lineage: Bacteria
Description: partial 16S ribosomal RNA
Rfam family: Bacterial small subunit ribosomal RNA
Source: RNAcentral